UACUUAUUUAACAGUUGACAAGAUAGUUUUGUUCGCCAUAUUGUAGUAGAUAAAACACUCUUAUAUUUGUGAUCUACAAUGGUUUAGUUAGGAGAAUGCAUGACUACUGGUAUAGAAUAGAAUACAAGAUAGAAAACAAGACUAAAUAGAAAGCAAGACUAACUAGGAAAUAGGAAAUAACACAUUCACCUUCCUUUGUUAAAUUAAGAAACUAUGAUUGUAUCAAGUUAACUAUAUUUUAUGGUAGGCAAGUUGGCAUACCUGCAAGACUUAUAAGUAAAGAAAAUAAAAAUGCCUUGAACAAUAUAUGAUUAAAUGAACAAAGAAUAAAAAAUGCAUUAUCUGAAAAUCAAUUAGAAUGUAGAAUGAAGAUUAAUUAUCAGUCUGGAAGUGGGUUUAGUUGUUCCUCUCCUGUCUUAAUUCCUAAAGAUACAAUUAAAAAAAAGUUGUUAGGUUUGGCUGAUAUUAGUAGUCAGGUUGGAGUUUCAGCAAAAACGCUAUUUAUUCUAGAACACGAUUUUUACAAAAAUUCUGUUUUGAAUAAAAUAUUCUAAAAAUAUAAUAAGGCAACUUAACGUGAUCUUGUACAAAUAAUUGCCAUCGCCUUGCUACACUAAUAGCUGAUUAUACGGUUUCGGAUGCUGAAAUGACUAUCAAACUUCAGCAGCUUACUAUCUUUUUUAUAGGGAAAGUGUCUUGGAGCUUUUUAUCAAAACUCCUGUAUAUAUAUAAAGAUAUUUUGAUUUGUUUGAAUAGUUUUUAAAGUAGCCAUUUUUAUUUUUUGCAAGAAAUAUUGUUAUGAGAAAAACAAAAGAACACAAUAAAAUUUACUAAAGUUUUUUUAACAAGAUGUAAAGCAAGACUUUUAAAAGCAAUUAAAGUUAAGAGUAGCACUGCAAGCAGUUUAAAUGAAUUAGGUCGACAAGAUAUUAUUAAGUUUGGAUCAAAAUACAGAUCUAGCCCAGACACUGUU
Molecule: non-coding RNA, 973 nt
Organism: Hydra vulgaris (swiftwater hydra)
Lineage: Eukaryota; Metazoa; Cnidaria; Hydrozoa; Anthoathecata; Hydridae
Source: RefSeq, a predicted model, not a curated record